Molecule: ribosomal RNA, 259 nt
Filed under: uncultured bacterium
Lineage: Bacteria
Description: partial 16S ribosomal RNA
Rfam family: Bacterial small subunit ribosomal RNA
Source: RNAcentral
UGGCGGACGGGUGAGUAACGCGUGGAAAACCUUGCCGUAUACUGGGGGAUAACACUUAGAAAUAGGUGCUAAUACCGCAUAAGCGCACAGCUUCGCAUGAAGCGGUGUGAAAAACUCUGGUGGUAUACGAUGGUUCCGCGUCUGAUUAGCUAGUUGGUGGGGUAAUGGCCUACCAAGGCAACGAUCAGUAGCCGGCCUGAGAGGGUGAACGGCCACAUUGGGACUGAGACACGGCCCAAACUCCUACGGGAGGCAGCAG